This 175-nucleotide ribosomal RNA is filed under the name uncultured bacterium. RNAcentral's name for it is "partial 16S ribosomal RNA". It matches the Rfam family "Bacterial small subunit ribosomal RNA", at positions 1318 to 1500 of the family's 1533-position model. The record is from RNAcentral.
CCACGAAGUUGGAUUCGCUAGUAAUCGCGCAUCAGCCAUGGCGCGGUGAAUACGUUCCCGGGCCUUGUACACACCGCCCGUCAAGCCAUGGGAGCCGGGGGCGCCUGAAGUCCGGGACCGCGAGGACCGGCCUAGGGCGAAACUGGUAACUGGGGCUAAGUCGUAACAAGGUAUC